This 669-nucleotide long non-coding RNA is filed under the name Homo sapiens (human). RNAcentral's name for it is "HSALNT0264647". Lineage: Eukaryota; Metazoa; Chordata; Mammalia; Primates; Hominidae. The record is from RNAcentral.
ACAUGAAAAUGAAAGAACUGGUUUGGAAGUCAGGAGAUCUAUGAUUGUGUACCGCCUCUGCUACUCACUCACCAUGGAAGCUUGAAAAAAUUCCAAACACUGCAAAAUUCUAAGAUGACCUGCAAGAUUUCUACCCCUGGUGCACAGACCCUGUAUGAUCCUCUCCCCUGGAGUGUGGAUGGAAGCUGAGAAUAUGAUGGCCAUCCCUCCUGAAACUUGACGACGAAUCAUUGACUCUGUGUUCAUCAAAGGAGAGAUUAUCCUGGGGGACCUGACCUAAUCAGUUGAGUCCUUUCAAGGUGGAAAAGUCAGAGAGGACUGCUCCUCCUGACCUUGAAGAAGACAAAAGUGGCCAGCUCUACAGCUGCAAGGAUUUGAAUUCUGCCAAUCACCUGAAUGAGCUUGGAGAAUCGCUCUGGGCAUCCGAUGAGAUGGCAGCUCUGACUGACACCUUGAUUUCAGCCUUCUGAGAUCUGAGCAGAGACCUGGACACCUGAUCCACAGAAACGGAAAUAUUACAUUUGUGUUGUCUUAAGCAGGUGAAUUGGUGUUAACUUGCGGCACAACAAUUGAAAACUAUCACUAUUGUUCUGCUACAUUUCUGACACAUGUGUUAAAGCAAUAGUUUUCCAGGAAUACAAAACAAAGGGAGACCCCCAGGGAACCAGG